RNAcentral lists this ribosomal RNA (496 nucleotides) under uncultured bacterium. Its description in RNAcentral is "bacterial SSU rRNA". It matches the Rfam family "Bacterial small subunit ribosomal RNA", at positions 28 to 517 of the family's 1533-position model. The record is from RNAcentral.
GACGAACGCUGGCGGCGUGGAUUAGGCAUGCAAGUCGAACGGUAGGAUACCUUCGGGUAUCUGAGAGUGGCGAACGGGUGAGUAACACGUAGGUGAUCUACCCUCAAGAUUGGGACAACCCAGGGAAACUUGGGCUAAUACCGGAUGAAAGCAGCAGUGAUGUUGUUUGAAAGGUGGCGUAAGCUGCCGUUUGGGGAUGAGCCUGCGCUCUAUUAGUUAGUUGGCGGGGUAAAGGCCCACCAAGGCGAUGAUAGAUAGGCGGCCUUAACGGGUGGUCGCCCACACUGGGAUUGAGAUACGGCCCAGACUCCUACGGGAGGCAGCAGUCGAGAAUAGUCUACAAUGGCCGAAAGGCUGAUAGUGCGACGCCGCGUGAACGAAGAAGCCCUUCGGGUGUAAGUUCUUUUAUAUGUGAGCAGUGCUUUCUAUGUGAACAGCAUGGGGAGAGAGAUAUUAGCAUAUGAAUAAGCAACGGCUAACUCCGUGCCAGCAGCCG